Molecule: unclassified non-coding RNA, 688 nt
Filed under: Saxifraga stolonifera (creeping saxifrage)
Lineage: Eukaryota; Viridiplantae; Streptophyta; Magnoliopsida; Saxifragales; Saxifragaceae
Description: partial miscellaneous RNA
Rfam family: 5.8S ribosomal RNA (bases 294-449)
Source: RNAcentral
GGAUCAUGUCGCCACCUGCUCAAGCAGAACAACUUGUGAACACGUAAUCGCAACCUACGAACUAAAGGGCUGUCUUCUUUGGCAUGCCGCCCUUCGUUCCCAAUGUCGAGGCCUGCCCGGCGAACACGCAGCACCCGAACGCCCGUCGUUUGAGCUGCGUUUUCCCGGGUUGACUUGACAUGAAACAAAAACCCGGCGUGAAAUGCGCCAAGGAAAUUAAAAGAAUGUGCAUCUGUUCCGUGGUUUGCUCGUGCAACAUUUCGGAAGGAUGUCAUCUUCUUGAUGUCUUUAAUGACUCUCGGCAACGGAUAUCUCGGCUCUUACAUCGAUGAAGAACGUAGCGAAAUGCGAUACUUGGUGUGAAUUGCAGAAUCCCGUGAACCAUCGAGUCUUUGAACGCAAGUUGCGCCCGAAUCCAUCCGGUCGAGGGCACGUCUGCCUGGGUGUCACGUACACGCGUCUCCACUAACCCUCUCCUCUAAGGAUUGGCGGGACCUGUGCGAGCAGAGAUUGGCAUCCCGUGCUUUCAAGCACGGUUUGCCUAAACACGAGUACCGGUGAUGAAAUUUCACGCCAAGUGGUGGUUCAUAAACCUCAAGGGUUUGCCAGUAUGCGUCGUGGAAGCCCAUCACUCGGAAAGCUCAAUGGACACCUUGAACGUCUAAACUGAUGCUAUGUCGCGACCCCA